UUUUGCAAAACAUAUUAUGAGUGAAAGUAUAAUAUUUACGAGUGAAGUCAUGACUCCAAAUACACACAAUGUGAUUCUGUAAUAAGAUCCUAACUACUUGCACGAUUUUCGAAUUUUAUUUUUUUUUAAUUAAACAAUUACGGAUGGAAAUAAUAAUGGAGAAAUUAAAAGGAAAUCGUCACUCCUGCGGAAGCUAUUUUGUUGAUCACUGUAACUGUGAACUCGUUCCUGGCAA
Drosophila innubila is the source of this 235-nucleotide long non-coding RNA. RefSeq lists it as uncharacterized. The transcript has 2 exons. Lineage: Eukaryota; Metazoa; Arthropoda; Insecta; Diptera; Drosophilidae. The record is from RefSeq and is a predicted model, not a curated record.